AGCAGCCACUCAUUAAAAGAGUGCGUAAUAGCUCACUGGUCGAGUGACUCUGCGCCGAAAAUUUAACGGGGCUAAACUAUACACCGAAGCUUGGGAUACAUCUAAUGUAUGGUAGGAGAGCGUUCUGUAUGGGGAGAAGUCGUAGCGAAAGCGGCGGUGGACUAUACAGAAGUGAGAAUGCCGGAAUAAGUAGCGAGAAUUAAGUGAGAAUCUUAAUGGCCGAAAGUCUAAGGUUUUUGGAGGAAGGUUCGUCCGCUCCAAGUAAGUCGGGAGCUAAGGUCAGGCCGAAAGGCGUAGCCGAUGCACAUACGGUUGAUAUUCCGUAACCAUCUGUAAUUUAAGCAAAGGGACACUUCAAAAGGGUGUGACCCGGGCGUUGGUUGACCCGGGCGUAAGGGACCGAAAUUAGAGUAGGGAAGCACACUUAGCUGAAGGCGAGAAAAGCUUUGCGUAUAGAAACAGAUGCCCGUACCGCAAACCGACACAGGUGGACAGGAAGAGAAUUCUAAGGCCAGCGGGAGAAGGGUAGUUAAGGAACUCGGCAAAUUGACUCCGUAACUUCGGAAUAAGGAGUGCUCGAAAGAGCCGCAGAGAAUAGGCCCAGGCGACUGUUUAGCAAAAACACAGGUCUCUGCCAAAUCGAAAGAUGAAGUAUAGGGGCUGACACCUGCCCGGUGCCGGAAGGUUAAGAGGAGGAGUGAGAGCUCCGAAUUGAAGCCCCGGUAAACGGCGGCCGUAACUAUAACGGUCCUAAGGUAGCGAAAUUCCUUGUCGGGUAAGUUCCGACCCGCACGAAUGGUGUAACGAUCUGGGCACUGUCUCAACUACCCACCCGGCGAAAUUGUAGUACCGGUGAAGAUGCCGGUUACCUGCGGCAAGACGGAAAGACCCCAUGGAGCUUUACUGUAGCCUGAUAUUGGGUUUCGGAAAUCUAUGUACAGGAUAGGCGGGAGACUAGGAAACAUGAGCGUCAGCUUGUGUGGAGUCGAUGUUGGGAUACCGCCCUUAGGUUUCUGGAAUUCUAACCUGCGGCCGUGAAUCCGGUCGGGGGACAUUGUCAGGUGGGCAGUUUGACUGGGGCGGUCGCCUCCGAAAAGGUAACGGAGGCGCUCAAAGGUUAGCUCAGCACGGACGGAAACCGUGCCUCUGAGUGUAAACGCAAAAGCUAGCCUAACUGCGAGGGUGACGGCCCGAGCAGUAACGAAAGUUGGAGUUAGUGAUCCGGCGGUAUGUGAAUGGAAAUGCC
RNAcentral lists this ribosomal RNA (1246 nucleotides) under human gut metagenome. Its description in RNAcentral is "bacterial LSU rRNA". It matches the Rfam family "Bacterial large subunit ribosomal RNA", at positions 1111 to 2443 of the family's 2925-position model. The record is from RNAcentral.